CACAAAUACAAUAUACCCUAUUUACUCUUCGAGUACCGGGUAUAAAAAGAUCUAUUUUUGUCGAGCUGCUAGCAACAUACAAACGAAUACCACAAAAUAUCGGCUGACUUCUAGAUUUAAUCUAGAUCUUUUCGAUCUAAGUACUGCCACUGACCAUAUAGUAUAGUGAUAUGGUGACAUGAUAGUUAUAUGGCUAGUGGUACUGCCCGGCGUUCAGCCGUUAGAAAAUAGUUUGUGCGCGCAAAAUUUUUGAUCAGUUCCAUACGAAUAUCACACUGAUUUUUCUAGAGGCCCCUUAUUUUCGAUCUGAGGCUUUUAGUCCGUCCCCUGGAUAUCGAGUCGAAAACACGCCUGACUUCCCCGAGAGUUAUCCGGGAACGAUACACCAGGGAGGCAAAAAGGCGAAUCAUAACCAAUUAAACCAAAGACCAGUGUAAAUAUUUUUAAAACCUUCAUAAGAAGUAAACAGGAAUAUGUAGUCACCAGCUUCUCGGACAUUCCAGAGGGGUCCAACAAAGACGUGGAAAUUGCACACGCCGGAGUGCUAAUAAGAUGUGUAAAUGUACCUCACGACACAAGCAAGCAUGAAGUCUUCAUAUUGGCGGGAAAUUCAUGGCAAAAGUGAGAGUUUCGAACGGUUUUGCCACUUUUGGAUUUUAAGAAAAAAUGAAUUUAAUGUGAAUAUAAAAUAAUUUUUUGCGAAUAAAAAAAAACCGUCACUGAAUCC
This 727-nucleotide long non-coding RNA is filed under the name Drosophila guanche. The record is from RNAcentral. Lineage: Eukaryota; Metazoa; Arthropoda; Insecta; Diptera; Drosophilidae.